Molecule: small nucleolar RNA, 134 nt
Organism: Crocodylus porosus (Australian saltwater crocodile)
Lineage: Eukaryota; Metazoa; Chordata; Crocodylia; Crocodylidae
Source: Ensembl
ACAUCCCCUUCAGCUUUGCCCUCUUAAGGCUGGCUGUGUCUUAAGUGGCCAACACAGAGGGGUAUAGUAAUCCUCUCUGAAACCCAGAGGUGAGCUUUAAAACUCUGCUUUGGAUCCUGUCUGGAGGGACAAAU